Dromiciops gliroides (monito del monte) is the source of this 2441-nucleotide RNA transcript. It is a transcript of the gene named transmembrane protein 184C, with no coding region annotated. The record is from RefSeq and is a predicted model, not a curated record. The transcript is spliced from 11 exons. NCBI's taxonomy places the organism in Eukaryota, Metazoa, Chordata, Mammalia, Microbiotheria, Microbiotheriidae.
AUGGCCACAGGCGGAAGCGGAAGCGGUCCAGGAGCUGUUGUGGGGAUUGUUGUGUUUGUGUGUGAGAGGGGCACUGUGUGUUUGUUCUUUGGAGGUUUUGGGGGAAGGGCCGGGAGGGGGCUGCGGGUCUCGGCCGUGUGGAGGCAGCUCCUUGAGGCCGCCACCGCCGUCGCCAUGGUGCAGGCAGAGCGUGGGGUGGCUGCCGGGUGACGGGAGGGCGGGGGGCGGGGGUGACGGCAGCUCCUUGGCCCGGCCCGGUUAGCUCCGCAGUGUUCGUCCGAGCUGGGGCGAUACCGGGGUGAGCGGCUCCAGCCGCGCCGGGCCAAAGGCGUGGGCCGCGGCACUGUCAGGAGAAAGAGUAGCUCCUGCCUCCGAAGCCACGGCGUUGGGGGCGUCGGCACCGUCAGCACCUGGUAAAGUAAAGCAAAGCAAAGUAAAGCAAAGCCCGGCCGCCCCCUCCCCACCUCUGAUCGUGCCACCCGAGCCCGUGCCCUAGGGAGGCUGGGAGGGCGGGCGACGGGAGGGGUGCCGGGUCCUCGGCCUACAGCCACCUCCCGCUGUUCCUCCUCUUCCUCUUCUUCUCUUCCUCCUCUUCUUUCCUGCUUCCUUUCUUCUAUUCCUUUUUCUCCUUCUUUCCCCGCCCCCCCUCCCCCUUUCUAUUUCCCGGGGUUGUUUUUGACGAGAACAUGCCUUGCACCUGGAGGAACUGGAGGCGAUGGAUCCGGCCCCUCGUGGUGUUUAUCUACUUGGUGGCCUUGGUCGUCUCUCUGCCUCUGUGCAUAUGGGAGCUGCAAAAAUUAGAGGUUGGAAUACACACAAAAGCAUGGUUUAUUGCUGGAAUCUUUUUACUAAUGACCGUACCAAUAUCUUUCUGGGGGAUUUUACAACACUUAGUGCAUUACACUCAACCUGAACUACAGAAGCCAAUAAUAAGGAUUCUUUGGAUGGUGCCUAUAUACAGCUUAGAUAGUUGGAUAGCCCUGAAGUAUCCCACCAUUGCAAUCUAUGUGGAUACUUGCAGAGAAUGCUAUGAAGCUUAUGUCAUAUACAGUUUCAUGGGAUUCCUUUCUAAUUAUCUGACUAACCGGUAUCCAAAUCUGGUAUUAAUCCUUGAAGCCAAAGAUCAGCAGAAACAUUUGCCUCCUUUCUGCUGCUGUCCAUCAUGGGCAAUGGGAGAAGUAUUAUUGUUCAGGUGCAAACUAGGCGUAUUACAGUAUACUGUUGUAAGACCAUUUACAACUAUCAUUGCUCUAAUCUGUGAGCUGCUUGGUGUAUAUGAUGAAGGGAAUUUUAGCUUUAAAAAUGCUUGGACUUACUUAGUUAUAUUCAACAAUGUGUCACAACUGUUUGCUAUGUAUUGCCUUGUGCUGUUUUAUAAAGUACUGAGGGAAGAACUGAAUCCAAUUCGGCCUGUUGGCAAAUUUCUUUGUGUAAAGAUGGUUGUUUUUGUUUCCUUCUGGCAAGCAGCAAUUAUUGCCUUGUUGGUAAAAGUUGGAGUUAUUUCUGAAAAGCAUACCUGGGAAUGGCAGACAGUAGAAGCUGUGGCUACAGGUCUACAAGAUUUCAUUAUCUGUAUUGAGAUGUUUUUUGCUGCUAUUGCUCAUCACUACAGCUUUUCCUACAAACCCUAUGUGCAGGAGGCAGAGGAAGGCUCAUGCUUUGAUUCUUUUCUUGCAAUGUGGGACAUUUCAGACAUUAGAGAUGAUAUAUCUGAACAAGUAAGAAAUGUUGGGAGGACAGUCCUGGGUCAUCGUAGUAAAAAGUUUUUUCCUGAUGAGGAGGAACAAAAUGAAAAUACAAGUUUAUUAUCAUCAUCUCAAGACCAGAUUUCUGUUGCUUCUUCUAUGCCAUCUUCACCCUUGGGUCACUACCAAGGGUUUGGACACACUGUGACACCACAGACUACGCCUACCUGUUCCAAGAUGCCUGACGAAAUUUAUAAUGCUGUUACAGGAGGAAAUGAAGAACCCUCAGCUAGGUAUAAAUCUGUGGCCUCCUGAACAUUCAGAGAAAUAAUGCUGCUUCUGUCUUGCCAUGGUACUUCAGAACCUGGUAUCCCAUCACUUAUGAAUUUUGUGCUUGGGGUAACACUAAACUGAGGGGAAAUUCCAGCACAAAGAUGGUUGGUGAAAGCCAGGGUGUGUAUAAAGAACACUACAUGCUUACAUUUGAUGGAGAGAAGAAAAUGGCUGCAACUAUUACUGGCAUUAAACUGCUCUGUCAAAUAGAUGGACAUGAAAAUCAAUGUUUUCUACCCCUGCUGCAUGGAAUAGAAUGCUGCUGAAUUAACCUGAAGAGUGGACUUUACAAACAAUUAGGUAAAUGAAUUAGUGCGACUGGAUCAUAAUUAAAGUUAAUGGUUACUUAUGUAGGUUUUGCUUACAUAACAUUUAAAUACUAGAUUUUAUUCCAUUCAAUAAAAGAAGGAACUAUUGACCUAU